This 454-nucleotide ribosomal RNA is filed under the name uncultured bacterium. RNAcentral's name for it is "bacterial SSU rRNA". It matches the Rfam family "Bacterial small subunit ribosomal RNA", at positions 340 to 786 of the family's 1533-position model. The record is from RNAcentral.
UACGGGAGGCAGCAGUGGGGAAUAUUGCACAAUGGGCGCAAGCCUGAUGCAGCCAUGCCGCGUGUAUGAAGAAGGCCUUCGGGUUGUAAAGUACUUUCAGUCGUGAGGAAGGUGUUAAGGUUAAUAACCUUAGCAAUUGACGUUAGCGACAGAAGAAGCACCGGCUAACUCCGUGCCAGCAGCCGCGGUAAUACGGAGGGUGCGAGCGUUAAUCGGAAUUACUGGGCGUAAAGGGCACGCAGGCGGUUAAUUAAGUUGGAUGUGAAAUCCCCGGGCUUAACCUGGGAAUGGCAUUCAAGACUGGUUAGCUAGAGUCUUGUAGGAGGGGGUAGAAUUCCAUGUGUAGCGGUGAAAUGCGUAGAGAUGUGGAGGAAUACCGGUGGCGAAGGCGGCCCCUGGACAAAGACUGACGCUCAUGUGCGAAAGCGUGGGGAGCAAACAGGGAUUAGAUACC